This 2227-nucleotide long non-coding RNA is filed under the name Aquilegia coerulea. RNAcentral describes it as "long non-coding RNA (ACOE_LNC001982)". The record is from RNAcentral. Lineage: Eukaryota; Viridiplantae; Streptophyta; Magnoliopsida; Ranunculales; Ranunculaceae.
UGUGCAUAUCACGUGAGAAGUCGUCUUUUUUUUUUUUUUUGCUUGCUGCGUGGACAGCUACGUGCCUACGUGAGAGAGCAUGUGUGUGGUGUGUACCAUCACUAGUUUACCAUUCUAUAAUGUAAGAAAGUACGUACCAUAGAAGUUAAUUAUAGGAUGUGAUGAUAUGAAUCUGUGUCUGUCUGCCAGUUUUUGUCUGUCCAAGUGAUGGGUCAUGGAUGACAUUUUUAACUGCAAAGCAAAAUGCAUUACUACAUAAAUAUUGAUUUUUCGUAAAUAUUUUUGAUUGGUGACAAGAUUAACCAAUUCAAUAACCCAUUAUAGGGAGUUCAGAUCUUUUACAAAUUAUUUGGAUUCUGCAAUUUCACUGCAAAUAACAACUAUAAAGCAUACAAUUCCUUUUUCAAGUGUACCAGGGAAGCUCACAAUCAGCUAGAAUACCCAUUGAACGAACAAGAAUGUUGAAGGCUUUCUUUCACAAGUAGAGUAGAACCAUGUGAUUCAAGGUCAAAUACCAAACUCAUAUGUAGAAUAUGAGGACCAAGAGAAGCAGAUGCAUGCAGAAGAAAUUCACACAAAAGGUCAAGCCGACAGAGAACUAUAUAUAGUAGGGGGAAGGGGGGUGGAGAGAAAUGAAAAGCUGGAUUGUACCAGAAAUGGUGGAUACCAAGCAGCAGAGAAGAUGGGCAGCACUGCAGAAAAGAUGGGUAAGACGAUCCAUGUGCAUCAACCACAGAUCCAAGGAUUUUUCUAUAUCACGCUUUCACUCAAAAAUAAAAAGGAUUUUCAUUUCUCAGACUCCACCCAACCUACAUCCAUUCCAAGCAAGUGAUGAAAAAAGUUGACAAAUUAAAAGAGAAUUGAAAAGCAGAAAUGAAGUGAAGCAUUCACCUUUGAAGUGGGAUUAUUUCAGUACGGUUCUUGUGCGAAAGAAGUUAGUCCUUAGUCCUCAUCAAGACAAACUACAUGAACUGUGAGGUUAAGGUAUCAACUCGAUCUUCAAGUACAUCACAACCUUGAGAUAUAUAUGUAGGAAAAUACACACCGAUAUAUUACUGUUCUAAAAUAAAUAAAAGGGAAUAGAUGAUGCAAACCAGAAUAAAUGGAUGAAGGACAAGAUUUAGAUCGAGUCGAGAUAAAAAUCUCUCUCCUUAAGACAUUAUUCGCCCCGUACAUGUGCCGAACGGUUUAUCAAUGGCGGAUUGUCUCCCAAGAUACAACGAUCUAUCCUUCUUAGCGUAGCAGCACUUCAAACGCAUAGAAGACGGCGAACCAAUUCUUUGUUAUACUCUCUCAUGGCAAGACACAAACACUAGAAGAAGGAAAAUCAAUUUGAUUUUUAAAAGUGAUUUGAAGACAAACACAAGAUACACUUAUAUAGUAGGAAGACACCUUUUUGAAAAUGCACAUGUCUAUUCAAUGUAUAUUUGAAUAGACACCUGACCCAAUACAAUGUACACAUCUGUUGGGACAGACACACCCAUUGGGAAUGAGUGUCUACAAAGUAUGUGUCUAUUGGGAAAGACACACCUAUUGGGAUGGGUUGGGCCAAAUACAAUGUAUGUGAAUACAUACCCAUUCAUCUACUAUAACACAAGUUAGCCAUGGCCAGUGGUUAACUUAGGACUUAAAUUUCUCAUUCAUAUACAAAUGUUUUGACCACUUGAAAACAUUUCCAACAAUAUAAUAUAUUCACUAAUUAAAAAUUAGAAAAAUCUUGCAACUUUUGAAUUUAAAAAGGGAGGAGGGGGGAUCACAAAUUACCUCUUUUAAUUUUGUGUUUUGAUGACUCAUGCCUGAAAUCAUUCUAGUUCACAGUCCAUAUUAAGGAUGGAACCAAACCAGUUAAGUAGCAACAGCUUCAUGCCUCCAUCAGACUCAGCUCAGCCCCAGAUGCAAAGAGACACGAGAGGCAGAAAACCUCCAAAUUCCAAAGCACAGUUGAAACCGCUUAUAGCCCUGAAGCUUUAUCUCUAUUGGAGUAUAAAGAUCAACUUGCAACAACAUUAUCAUCAUCAGUUAAAUAUCCAUAUCCAACUUUAAUAUAUUCAUUAACAGUUGGAUAAGCUUUUGAAAGGCAUAUCUCAGUAUAAUUCCAGUUUAUCCAGUGAAUUGCAACCUAGAGCUGGAAGUUCAUGACAAUAGGCCAUGUGGCAGUAGUAACGAGAGUAUGUAGAUGCUGAAACCAUCAUACUCAGCAGCUUUGAGAUAAUACAUCUAGUUAAUA